RNAcentral lists this ribosomal RNA (486 nucleotides) under Raffaelea arxii. Its description in RNAcentral is "partial large subunit ribosomal RNA". It matches the Rfam family "Eukaryotic large subunit ribosomal RNA", at positions 104 to 501 of the family's 3401-position model. The record is from RNAcentral. Lineage: Eukaryota; Fungi; Ascomycota; Sordariomycetes; Ophiostomatales; Ophiostomataceae.
AAGCUCAAAUUUGAAAUCUGGCCCCCCCCGCGGGGGUCCGAGUUGUAAUUUGCAGAGGAUGCUUUGGGCGCGGCGCCUUCCGAGUGCCUUGGAACAGGUCGCCUCAGAGGGUGAGAGCCCCGUACGGUUGGACGCCUAGCCCGUGUAAAGCUCCUUCAACGAGUCGAGUAGUUUGGGAAUGCUGCUCAAAAUGGGAGGUAAAUUCCUUCUAAAGCUAAAUACUGGCCAGAGACCGAUAGCGCACAAGUAGAGUGAUCGAAAGGUGAAAAGCACUUUGAAAAGAGAGUCAAAUAGCACGUGAAAUUGUUAAAAGGGAAGCGUCUGCGACCAGACGCGCCGCCCGCGGCUCACCCGGCGCCUCGGCGCCGGGGCACGCCGCGGGCGUCGGGCCAGCAUCGGCUCUGCCGUGGGUACAAGGACCGCGGGAACGUAGCUCCCUCGUGGAGUGUUAUAGCCCGCGGCACCAUGCCCGCGGCGGGGCCGAGG